Molecule: ribosomal RNA, 622 nt
Filed under: uncultured bacterium
Lineage: Bacteria
Description: bacterial SSU rRNA
Rfam family: Bacterial small subunit ribosomal RNA (bases 1-522)
Source: RNAcentral
CCUACGGGAGGCAGCAGUGAGGAAUUUUCCGCAAUGGGCGAAAGCCUGACGGAGCAAUACCGCGUGAGGGAUGAAGGAUUUUGGUCUGUAAACCUCUUUUCUCAAGAAAGAAGUUCUGACGGUACUUGAGGAAUAAGCAUCGGCUAACUCCGUGCCAGCAGCCGCGGUAAUACGGGGGAUGCAAGCGUUAUCCGGAAUGAUUGGGCGUAAAGCGCCUGUAGGUUGUUUAUUAAGUCCGUUGUUAAAGCCUAGGGCUUAACCCUAGAAAAGCAAUGGAAACUAGUAGACUAGAGUAUGGCAGGGGUAGAGGGAAUUUCUAGUGUAGCGGUGAAAUGCGUAGAUAUUAGAAAGAACACCGGUGGCGAAAGCGCUCUACUGGACCAUUACUGACACUCAGAGGCGAAAGCUAGGGUAGCAAAAGGGAUUAGAUACCCCUGUAGUCCUAGCCGUAAACGAUGGAUACUAGAUGUUGUGUNAUAUAGUACUAGUAUACGUAGUACGUACGUACGUUACGUAUCCGUCCGUCGGUAGGUACGUACGUCGUCGACGGUAGUAACGUACGAACGGAAAGUAGUACGGACGUGAGACGUAAGUACCGAACGACGACGACGAGGGAGGUAGG